RNAcentral lists this ribosomal RNA (253 nucleotides) under uncultured bacterium. RNAcentral's name for it is "partial 16S ribosomal RNA". It matches the Rfam family "Bacterial small subunit ribosomal RNA", at positions 524 to 776 of the family's 1533-position model. The record is from RNAcentral.
UACGAAGGGGGCUAGCGUUGCUCGGAAUCACUGGGCGUAAAGCGCGCGUAGGCGGAUUGCUAAGUCAGGGGUGAAAUCCUGGAGCUCAACUCCAGAACUGCCUUUGAUACUGAAGAUCUUGAGUUCGGGAGAGGUGAGUGGAACUGCGAGUGUAGAGGUGAAAUUCGUAGAUAUUCGCAAGAACACCAGUGGCGAAGGCGGCUCACUGGUCCGGUACUGACGCUGAGGUGCGAAAGCGUGGGGAGCAAACAGG